UGUCUCAAAAAAAAAAAAAAAAAAAAAAAAAACCAAAAAAAAAAAAAAAGGAAAAACAUUAAAAUAUGUGUUGAUCUCUAAGCUUUAAAUGUAGGAAAAUCCUUAGAUGACCAACCAACCUUUCUAUUGGGUAACUGAGGAAACAACGUAAAAUUUAAUUUGCAACAGAUGACAUAUUAGGAUCUUAAUCCUGUGUCUUCUAACUUUAUAAUAAAAUGUUUUUCUUACUUUUACUAAAAUAUUUUAAGUUCUUACCAGAAGAUUUUUAGCAAGUCAAAGUAUAAAGGGCUUCUGUAGCUUAUUAAUAUUUAUCUUCUGAUUAAGCCAGCUUGUGGUUUAGUUAUUAAUUUUGUAAAUGUAAAUAUAGUAAGAAUAUUUUAAUUAUAUCUCAAAGGAAAUGUUCUUUUUACUAUCCUGUAUUCCUUAUUUGGAGUGUUUAAGUCAUUCUUUAACAUGUUAUCUGUCAUUGCUUCCUACAAGGAGGAUCUUACCUUUUCAGAUUAAAGGUGAUUUUUCGAGACAGGGUUUCUCACUCUGGAGACCAGGACAGCCUCAAACUCACAGAGAUCCACCUGCCUCUGCCUCCCGAGAUUAAAGGCAUGUGCCACCACUGCACAGCAGAUUUAAUUAUAAGACCUAUAUUUAAGAGCAAUCAAUUUUUUCUUGUGGGGCUGUCCGUAACUAAAGUAGUAAGAAAUCAUACAUGUUGUGGCUAGAAUUUAAAUACUACUUUUUACACGCGAAUGAUGUUUGUUUUUUGUUGUUUGUUUGUUUGUUUGUUUGUUUUUCCAAAUCAUUGUCGGCCAUUGAGAUAAGCAUUUGCUGCACAAGCAUGGCAACUCGUGUUUGAUCCUUGGAAUUGACAUAAAGGCGAAAUGAGAGGACCAACUCUACAAAAUUAUUCUCUGAUCUCUGUAGAAAUCAUAAUAAAGUUUUGUUUUAAUAACUGAACUCAACUUUUUUUAUUUUAACCAUUAUAUGAAAAACAAUUAUGAAAUAAUUACCAAUACAUAAUUUGUUCUAUUAAAACAUGCUUAGAAGUAUUUAUUGAAUGGAUUUAUAGUUUGUCCAAUUUUUUCCACAACAAUCCUAAAAUUUGAUUUCUUUUGUAUAUGUAUAAUCCUAAAAGUAGCUGAAGUUAGGGUUUCUUCUAAAUGGCAAGAAAAAGAACCCUGCAUUUUGCAUUUGCCAGUACAUGUUUAUAUCUAUAUAUUUCAGAUGUAAAGAAUGUACUGUUUGUGGCUAGUAUAUUUAUACUAAAUUUUUAAUUCUUGUUUUCAGUUCUAAAAAUGGUUAAAGAAAAUUUCAAAUAAUAUGGCUAGAAAGAAAAUAGAGUGACACAUCCCUAUGACACCAGCACUUGGGAAGUGGAGUGCUUGGGAGUUGAACUCAGGACCUCCAAAAGGGCUCUACUACUAAAACAUCCUAAUACCAAAACCGAAAACUGUUGAAGCCAUUUGUGUGCUAAAUAUUCCUCAUUCUUAAAUUAUUAAUGUAUCCUGUGGAUCAUUCUUUAAUGAGGUUACUUCCUGCUCUCCCAUUUGCCUUUGGUGAUUCUAUUAAAUAAUGUGUUUGGAAAA
Molecule: long non-coding RNA, 1580 nt
Organism: Peromyscus leucopus (white-footed mouse)
Lineage: Eukaryota; Metazoa; Chordata; Mammalia; Rodentia; Cricetidae
Exons: 2
Source: RefSeq, a predicted model, not a curated record